GACGAACGCUGGCGGCGUGCUUAACACAUGCAAGUCGAACGAAGAGCGAUGGAAGCUUGCUUCUAUCAAUCUUGGUGGCGCACGGGUGAGUAACGCGUAAUCAACCUGCCCUUUAGGGGGGGACAACAGUUGGAAACGACUGCUAAUACCGCAUACGACCUAAUCUCGGCAUCGAGGGAAGAUGAAAGGUGGCGUCUACAUGUAAGCUGUCAUCGGAGGAGGGGGUUGCGGCGGAUUAGCUAGAUGGGGGGGUAAAGGCCCAGCAAGGCGAUGAUCAGUAGCCGGGCUGAGAGGAUGGACGGCCCCAUUGGGAACGAGACACGGGUCAGACUCCUUCGGGGAGCAGCAGUUGGGAAUCUUCCGAAAAGGACGAAAGGCUUACGGAGGAACGCCGCGUGAGUGAUGGAGGCCGUCGGGUUGGAAAGGUCUGUUUAUCGGGACGAAAGGCCUUCUUGCGAAUAGUGAGAAGGAUUGACGGUACCGAAAGAGAAAGCCACGGCUAACUACGUG
This 510-nucleotide ribosomal RNA is filed under the name uncultured bacterium. Its description in RNAcentral is "partial 16S ribosomal RNA". It matches the Rfam family "Bacterial small subunit ribosomal RNA", at positions 28 to 507 of the family's 1533-position model. The record is from RNAcentral.